Molecule: long non-coding RNA, 365 nt
Filed under: Dermacentor andersoni
Lineage: Eukaryota; Metazoa; Arthropoda; Arachnida; Ixodida; Ixodidae
Description: uncharacterized LOC126517792
Source: RNAcentral
GACUGUGCGGAAGAAAGUCCGAUAUAUUUUGCAGUGUUUACGACUUUGCGCAAGUACUGAUCCUUGUGUUUCUCUGUCCAGACUUGUGGCGUUUCCCAUUGGCGUUUGGACACGAUGCGUAUUUGGGCACUUUUUGUCAUCUCCAUGCGUGGUUAUUUCGGCACGCAAGCACUAAGGAGACGUGAAACCUCAACAAGAUAUACCAAUGCGACAAUGAAAGAGGCUGCGGAAGUGCACCACAUGGUUGUAAAUACGACAACAGCAGUGCAGGCGAAAAAGAUCCCCAAUGUUGUAUGUUUCUCUGCCCAGACGAAACGAACCCGUAAUCAAUACCGACAAGGAAAUUAUAAAAGUGCUUUUCUUUG